Oncorhynchus keta (chum salmon) is the source of this 5942-nucleotide long non-coding RNA. RefSeq lists it as uncharacterized. The transcript is spliced from 3 exons. The record is from RefSeq and is a predicted model, not a curated record. NCBI's taxonomy places the organism in Eukaryota, Metazoa, Chordata, Actinopteri, Salmoniformes, Salmonidae.
CUGCCACAGAGGACAGAUUAGAAUAAACAACCUUUCUUACCUGCCAGAACUGGAGAGGUGACAUAGUAAACAUUUCCCCUUUGACCUUUUCCAGGUAUUUAGUUCACACAGGUCACUUAAUGCCCUGCCAGGUUGACCUUUCAAAUGGACAGUGACCUCAGACGCAAUCAAAUUGUAUUGGUCACAUACGUACACAUGGUUAGCAGAUGUUAUUGCGAGUGUAGCGAAAUUCUUGUGCUCCUAGUUCCCGACAGUGCAGCAAUAUCUAACAUGGUAAUCUAACAAUUCCACAACAACAACCUAAUACACAUAUGUCUAAGUAAAGGAAUGGAAUAAGAAUAUAUAUAUAUAUAUACUACCAUUAAAAAGUUUGGGGUCACUUAGAUAUUUCCUUAAAUAUCUAUAUUAAAAUGAUAUAAAAUUGAUCAGAAAUACAGUGUAGACAUUGUUAAUGUUGUAAAUGACUAUUGUAGCUGGAAACGGCUGAUUUCUUAUGAAAUAUCUACAUAGGCGUUGUUGUGUCUUUGGCUAUGGCGGAUUCAAUGAUAUGACAUGCUAUUCUAUAAAAUCCUUUCUCCAUAAUUAAUAUUACCUGAUUGAGCUAAUCAUGUAAUUAACUAGAGAGUCGGGGCACCACAAAAUAAUAUUUAUAGAGCUGUUAUCUUCCGAAUAAACUCUUAAAGACCUAGUAAUAUUUUACAUCAAUAGCAGUCAAUAUUAAUUCAGUCUCAUCUGAAAGUUGUAAUUUCUUGGUUAUCUUCAAGAACCCUGGCUAACAAGUUGAAUCAGCAAUGCAAAAUAGAGUUUAAUUAUUUAUUUACUAAAUACCUAACUAAUCACACAGAAUUACAUAUACAAAGAAUGAAUCAUACCUUGAUUACAAAUUAUAUUACGAAGGAAAACGUCCCUAGUGGGCGGAACAGAUAUGACAGCUGGUUACACAAAGAAAAGGGGGCUGGGUUUUAGUGAAAGAGCGGGAAGACUGAGGAACAAAGGGAGAAGCGAUGUCUCUAUCGUAAAUACAGUAUCUUAUGCAUUCUAAAUUACCGCCCAUUUGGAAAAGGAAAAUGCAAUAAAUAUUUACUCUGAGCUGCGCUUCGGUAGGUUGGUGGAAUAUGGAAGGCCGUGUUGCCCAACCGAGUCCUUUGUCCUUUGAAGAAUGUCUCUGGUGGUCAAUUGGAUAUGUUGUAGUAACGUCGUUGUGUGGUAGACAGGUACUCUGUCUGUUCUUUCCUAGCCCACGUUUGCAGCUGCUGUUGCUAACUCAACGGCUACGAGGUAUCACUUCUGUAGUGAAUAAGAGUUCAAAGUUCAUACCAUUCGCAACCAAAGCUCACGCUGAGGUUGGCUUAGUUCUGUAGUUGACAUGUUAGUCCUUUUAACGCAGAGGCUGCAGACCUCACGUACUUGGAACAGGAGGUUACAUUUUCGUCAAGGCUUUAUAUAGUGGAGCGAGAAGGGUGUGUUUGAAAAGUUUUAUAACCCAUGUCUCUUCACAGGGGCGGGCCACUGAUUGAGCAGAGCCCUAACCUUAUGAAAACCAAAAUCUCUCAUUUGGAAGCUAAAAUUACAUUUAAUCUCUUCACCAAUAAUUUUAUAUUCAAACAUUUAAAUUGAACAACAAUUCCAUGUGAAUCCGAUAACUACAAUGUGCAGACUUUCCACUGUAGAGUUUAUGUCAUCCUAUCAUUGAUGAGAAUGUCUCAGAUGACAACCGAACUGACAUCAUAUUCAUUAAGUACCACCGCAUAUUGGUCGGAUUACCAGAAUAUAGUUAACUUCCCCCCACCUUCUGAUGUUCCCAGAAUCUCUAUGUUAACCAAGGGGUUUUCAAAUGUAACAUCAGUAGGGAAGAGAGAGGAAAAAGGAGGGAGAGGUAUUUAUGAGUGUCAUAAACCUACCCCCAGGCCAAUGUCAUGACAGUGUACAGAGGCCAUUAUCAGCAACCAUCACUCCUGUGUUCCAAUGGCACGUUGUGUUAGCUAAUCCAAUUUAUAAUUUAAAAGGCUAAUUGAUCAUUAGAAAACCCUUUUGCAAUUAUGUUAGCCCAGCUGAAAACUGUUGUUCUGAUUAAAGAAGCAAUUAAACGGGCCUUCUUAAGACUAGUUGAGUAUCUGGAGAAUCAGCAUUUGUGGGUUCCAUUACAGGCUCAAAAUGGCCAGAAAUAAAGACCUUUCUUCUGAAACUCGUCAGUCUAUUCUUCUUCUGAGAAAUGAAGGCUAUUCCAUACGAGAAAUUGCCAAGAAACCGAAGAUCUCGUACAACGCUGUGUACUACUCCCUUCACAGAACCAUGAAAACUGGUUCUAACCAGAAUAGAAAGAGGAGUGGGAGGCCCCGGUGCACAACUGAGCAAGAGGACUUUCUCUAGAUUUUCCUCAAAGUUUAGAAUGAAGAAAAACUCAAACUAAACACAAUUUAUUAUGUUUUUUUUGUUGUAUUUUUGCACCCAAAGAUAAUAGUUUCAGGAUUGUUUUAGUUUUUAACUUUUUUAUUUUAUUUUUCAAUUUCAGUUCACUAAAUAGUUUUUAUUUACUAUAAUAACCUUGUAGCCUACUUAUCUUUCCUGUUCUUAACCCCAUACCUACUGUAAAAUAUGGUGGAUGAGAAUGUAUGAGCAGAAAAUAACCCCUUACCUACUGCAAAAUAUGGUGGAUGAGAAUGUAUGAGCCAAAAAUAACCCCAUACCUACUGUAAAAUGUGGUGGAUGAGAAUGUAUGAGCAGAAAAUAACCCCAUAGAAAAUAACCCCAUACCUACUGCAAAAUAUGGUGUAUGAGAAUGUAUGAGCAGUAAAUAACCCCAUACCUACUGUAAAAUAUGGUGGAUGAGAAUGUAUGAGCAGAAAAUAACCCCAUACCUACUUUAAAAUAUGGUGGAUGAGAAUGUAUGAGCAGUAAAUAACCCCAUACCUACUGUAAAAUAUGGUGGAUGAGAAUGUAUGAGCAGUAAAUAACCCCAUACCUACUGUAAAAUAUGGUGGAUGAGAAUGUAUGAGCAGUAAAUAACCCCAUACCUACUGUAAAAUAUGGUGGAUGAGAAUGUAUGAGCAGUAAAUAACCCCAUACCUACUGUAAAAUAUGGUGGAUGAGAAUGUAUGAGCAGUAAAUAACCCCAUACCUACUGUAAAAUAUGGUGGAUGAGAAUGUAUGAGCAGUAAAUAACCCCAUACCUACUGUAAAAUAUGGUGGAUGAGAAUGUAUGAGCAGUAAAUAACCCCAUACCUACUGUAAAAUAUGGUGGAUCUUUGAUGUUUAUGGGACUAUUUUGUUUCCACUGGUCCUGGGGCCCGUGUUUAUGGUAUCUUUACCCACUACCAGGUUAUUUUUGCUCCAAAACCUGUUUGCCAGGAUGUUUAUACUUGGCCAUAAGUAGAUCUUCCAGCAAGGCAAUAACUCCAAGCACACAUCAAAAUCCACUAAAUCUACAUUUUUGUAAUGGCCAAUCUCAGUCUCCGUACUUGAAACCCAUUGAAAACCUGUGGUUUGAAUUGAAGAGGGCAGUCCAUAAGUACAGACAAAGGAUAUCAAUUAUAUAGAAUUAUUCUGUACUGAGGAAUGGUCUACAAUCCCUCCCAAUGGGUUCUCCAACUCAUAAAACAUUGAGAAAAAUGCUCAGUGCCGUUAUCCUCGCAAGGUGAGGUAUUGGAAAAACAGGCGUGCCAAUUAUUUUGACCCCAAUCCUUUUCAAGAGAAAAAAAAUGCUUGUUAAACAAAGAAUGUCUCUGAACAAUUGUAUUAGUAGUAGUAUUUUUUUUUGCAUACAAUAUACGUAGCUCAGUGUUUGAAUUAUAUUUUAUACUGUAAUUUUUGCUCAUCUUUAUCAAGGGUGUCAAUCAUUUCAGACUGUACACAUGGCUGGAGGUCUACAGUAAGUUUGGUCGAUAUGAUACACAUAGCUGGAGGUCUAUAGUAGGUCUGGUCUAUAUGAUACACAUGGCUGGAGGUCUACAGUAGGUCUAGUCUAUAUGAUACACAUGGCUGGAGGUCUACAGUAGGUCUAGUCUAUAUGAUACACAUGGCUGGAGGUCUAAGUCUGGUCUAUAUGAUACACAUGGCUGGAGGUCUAAGUCUGGUCUAUAUGAUACACAUGGCUGGAGGUCUACAGUAGAUCUGGUCUAUAUGAUACACAUGGCUGGAGGUCUAAGUCUGGUCUAUAUGAUACACAUGGCUGGAGGUCUAAGUCUGGUCUAUAUGAUACACAUGGCUGGAGGUCUAAGUCGAGUCUAUAUGAUACACAUGGCUGGAGGUCUACAGUAGAUCUGGUCUAUAUGAUACACAUGGCUGGAGGUCUAAGUCUGGUCUAUAUGAUACACAUGGCUGGAGGUCUAAGUCUGGUCUAUAUGAUACACAUGGCUGGAGAUCUAAGUCUAGUCUAUAUGAUACACAUGGCUGGAGGUCUAAGUCUGGUCUAUAUGAUACACAUGGCUGGAGGUCUACAGUAGAUCUGGUCUAUAUGAUACACAUGGCUGGAGGUCUAAGUCUAGUCUAUAUGAUACACAUGGCUGGAGGUCUAAGUCUAGUCUAUAUGAUACACAUGGCUGGAGGUCUAAGUCUAGUCUAUAUGAUACACAUGGCUGGAGGUCUAAGUCUAGUCUAUAUGAUACACAUGGCUGGAGGUCUACAGUAGGUCUAGUCUAUAUGAUACACAUGGCUGGAGGUCUAAGUCUAGUCUAUAUGAUACACAUGGCUGGAGGUCUAAGUCUAGUCUAUAUGAUACACAUGGCUGGAGGUCUAAGUCUAGAUGUUCUGGUCUCAAUGCAGCAUUCACCCCCCUUUUUGUUUUUACCCCUUUUUCCCCCUCUCCCUCGUUCCAGGGCAGAGUGGUGUGUCUGUCUCUCUCUCUCUCCUUCCCCCUCUCCUUCGUUCCAGAGCAGAGGAGUGUGUCUGUCUCUCUCUCUCUCUCCUUCCCCCUCUCCCUCGUUCCAGGGCAUAGGAGUGUGUCUGUCUCUCUCUCUCUCCUUCCCCCUCUCCCUCGUUCCAGGGCAAAGGAGUGUGUCUGUCUCUCUCUCUCUCCUUCUCCUUCCCCCUCUCCUUCGUUCCACUGAGGCUAGCUAGAGGGAUGUCUCUAGCAGCAGGGCAGAGUGGUGUGUCUGUCUCUCUCUCCUUCCCCCUCUCCCUCGAUCCACUGAGGCUUGCUAGAGGGAUGUCUCUAGCUGCAGGGCAGAGUGGUGUGUCUGUCUCUCUCUCACUCCUUCUCCCUCCACUGAGCCCUCGUUCCACUGAGGCAAGCUAGAGGGAUGUCUCUAGCAGCAGGGCAGAGUGGUGUGUCUGUCUCUCUCUCCUUCCCCUCUCCCUCGAUCCACUGAGGCUAGCUAGAGGGAUGUCUCUAGCAGCAGGGCAGAAUGGUGUGUCUGUCUCUCUCUCUCUCCUUCCCCCUCUCCCUAGUUCCAGGGCAGAGGAGUGUGUCUGUCUCUCUCUCUCUCCUUCCCCCUCCACUGAGCCCUCGUUCCACUGAGGCUAGCGAGAGGGAUGUCUCUAGCAGCAGAGCAGAGUGGUGUGUCUGUCUCUCUCUCCUCCCCCCUCUCCCUCGAUCCACUGAGGCUAGCUAGAGGGAUGUCUCUAGCAGCAGGGCAGAGUGGUGUGUCUGUCUCUCUCUCCUUCCCCUCUCCCUCGAUCCACUGAGGCUAGCUAGAGGGAUGUCUCUAGCAGCAGGGCAGAAUGGUGUGUCUGUCUCUCUCUCUCUCCUUCCCCCUCUCCCUAGUUCCAGGGCAGAGGAGUGUGUCUGUCUCUCUCUCUCUCCUUCCCCCUCCACUGAGCCCUCGUUCCACUGAGGCUAGCGAGAGGGAUGUCUCUAGCAGCAGGGCAGAGUGGUGUGUCUGUCUCCAUGAGGAUCAGUUUUGACCAGCUGCCUGGAAGGAAUACCAAUAAAGCACCACAGGAUCCUUCUUCUCCCUCAUAGUGUGUGUUCUUCUUCUCUGCAGUGGUGUGAAAUGAAGGGCUGC